AGAGUUUGAUCCUGGCUCAGAGCGAACGCUGGCGGCAGGCCUAAAACAUGCAAGUCGAACGCCGUAGCAAUACGGAGUGGCAGACGGGUGAGUAACACGUGGGAACGUGCCUUUUGGUUCGGAACAACCCAGGGAAACUUGGGCUAAUACCGGAUAAGCCCUUCGGGGGAAAGAUUUAUCGCCAGAAGAUCGGCCCGCGUCUGAUUAGCUAGUUGGUGGGGUAAUGGCCCACCAAGGCUACGAUCAGUAGCUGGUCUGAGAGGAUGAUCAGCCACACUGGGACUGAGACACGGCCCAGACUCCUACGGGAGGCAGCAGUUAGGAAUCUUGGACAAUGGGCGCAAGCCUGAUCCAGCCAUGCCGCGUGAGUGAUGAAGGCCUUAGGGUUGUAAAGCUCUUUCAGCGGGGAAGAUAAUGACGGUACCCGCAGAAGAAGCCCCGGCUAACUUCGUGCCAGCAGCCGCGGUAAUACGAAGGGGGCUAGCGUUGCUCGGAAUCACUGGGCGUAAAGCGCACGUAGGCGGCUUUCUAAGUCAGGGGUGAAAUCCUGGAGCUCAACUCCAGAACUGCCUUUGAUACUGGAGAGCUUGAGUCCGGGAGAGGUGAGUGGAACUCCGAGUGUAGAGGUGAAAUUCGUAGAUAUUCGGAAGAACACCAGUGGCGAAGGCGGCUCACUGGCCCGGUACUGACGCUGAUGUGCGAAAGCGUGGGGAGCAAACAGGAUUAGAUACCCUAGUAGUCC
This 742-nucleotide ribosomal RNA is filed under the name uncultured bacterium. Its description in RNAcentral is "bacterial SSU rRNA". It matches the Rfam family "Bacterial small subunit ribosomal RNA", at positions 8 to 796 of the family's 1533-position model. The record is from RNAcentral.